Schistosoma rodhaini is the source of this 45-nucleotide non-coding RNA. Lineage: Eukaryota; Metazoa; Platyhelminthes; Trematoda; Strigeidida; Schistosomatidae. The record is from Rfam.
AUCCACCUGACGAGUCUCAAAUGAGACAAAACACGCGUCCUGGAU